Molecule: unclassified non-coding RNA, 291 nt
Filed under: Hevea brasiliensis (rubber tree)
Lineage: Eukaryota; Viridiplantae; Streptophyta; Magnoliopsida; Malpighiales; Euphorbiaceae
Source: RNAcentral
AUGCUAGAUGGGAUGAAAUUUAUUCCAUCUAUCUGGAAUUUGAUGACAAGCAAAGCAUGCUAUUCUGUUGAAAACUUGCAGUCAUAAUCAGUAAUACUGCAUCAAUAUUACAUUUUAUUACCAACCUAGAUGUGAUAAAUUUCAUUAUUAAUGUAAAAAACUUCGUUUUAAAUCUUUGAGAAAGGAAAUCAAUCUAUUCAUUUGCUCUGUCUAAAGAAGUUGGAAAAUUUCCCUUUCCAUUUGGCAUUUUGCGUCUCAUUUUUUAUCUCUUGUUGAGCAGGAUCUUGCAGG